Molecule: ribosomal RNA, 335 nt
Filed under: uncultured bacterium
Lineage: Bacteria
Description: bacterial SSU rRNA
Rfam family: Bacterial small subunit ribosomal RNA
Source: RNAcentral
AACGAACGCUGGCGGCAGGCCUAACACAUGCAAGUCGAACGCCGUAGCAAUACGGAGGUGGCCAGACGGGUGAGUAACACGUGGGAACGUACCUUUCGGUUCGGAAUAACUCAGGGAAACUUGAGCUAAGUACCGGAUACGUGCGAGAGCAGAAAGAUUUAUCGCCGAAAGAUCGGCCCGCGGUCCGAUUAGCUAGUUGGUGAGGUAAUGGCUCACCAAGGCGACGAUCGGUAGCUGGUCUGAGAGGAUGAUCAGCCACACUGGGACUGAGACACGGCCCAGACUCCUACGGAGGCAGCAGUGGGGAAUAUUGGACAAGUGGGCGCAAGCCUGAU